GCUUUUGAGUUUGGUGUUAAUAGAAGUAUCUUUGUAGGGUUAUAUGUUGUGAGUACCUAAAGGGAAAUAAUUAGUUGAGUAUUAAUGAAUGUUGUACCGUGAGGGGUAGUUUGAAAUAUGUGGAAAAUUGAUGUGUGGUAAAGUGGGCUUUUAUGGUCGUACCUUGGGUAUCAGGGUUAAUCGAAAGUUUUUUAAUUAUUUAAAGAUCCCGAUUUAAGGAGGGCUAGGGAGUUUAGUUGGUUAUUGUGGAAUUACUAUCAAAAAAGAUUGUCUAGUAAUUAAAUGUUAUUCGUUCCUUAAGAUAUCUGGUUUUUUAAGAAAUGAAUUUAAUUCAGCUGUUUGUGGGUUUUGUGCUUAAUUGGUUAUUAAAGUUUGAUUAAAUUAACGAAGAGUAAUUGUUUGGGGGAUAAGCUCCGGGCAAAAUUGUUAAAAUUUUAUAGGUUGUAUAAUUGGUCUAGGCUUGAAAGUAGCCACGGAUGAAAAAGUGUUAUAUCUUGUUUUAUGAGUUAUAUUAUUUUGAAAAGUUUAAUUGUUAUAUUAAAAUGUAGUUAUGAAUUUAAAAUAAUUGGGAAUAAUGAUUAAAUUAGUAUAAGUGUUGUAGUUGGGUAUGUAAUAGUAGGGAGUAGGCCAUGGUAAGGAACUCGGCAAACAGGCGCUCGCCUGUUUAUCAAAAACAUGUCCUCUUGUGAAGUAAUAAUUUGAGGUCUAACCUGCCCACUGAAUAAGAUUUAAAGGGCCGCGGUAUUUUGACCGUGCUAAGGUAGCAUAAUCAUUAGUCUUUUAAUUGAAGGCUGGAAUGAAUGGUUGGACGAGGCGUCGACUGUCUCAUUGUGGAUGAUUUUAGAAUUUAACAUUUAAGUUAAAAGGCUUAAAUGGACUUAAAGGACGAGAAGACCCUAUAGAUCUUUAUAUUUGUGCCUUGUUGGUUAUUAGGUUGUUUAUAGUCAUUAGGGUAGCUAAUAUUUUAUUGGGGUGAUAGGAAGAUAAAAGAAACUCUUUUUGUUUUGGUUACAUUGAUAUUUGAGUUAUAGUGAUCCGUUUGUAGCGAUUGUAAGAUUAAGUUACCUUAGGGAUAACAGCGUAAUCUUUUUUGAGAGUUCGUAUCGACAAAAAGGGUUGCGACCUCGAUGUUGGAUUAAGGUGAAAUUUGGGGGCAGGUGUUCAAAUUUUUGGGUCUGUUCGACCCUUAAAUCCUUACAUGAUCUGAGUUCAGACCGGCGUAAGCCAGGUCGGCUUCUAUCCUUAAAUAGGUGAAAUGUUUUAGUACGAAAGGACCGGGCAUUUGAAUUAAUAUUUUUACUGGAAGGGAUUAAUAAUAAGGGGUA
RNAcentral lists this ribosomal RNA (1325 nucleotides) under Claassenia magna. RNAcentral describes it as "16S ribosomal RNA". The stretch from base 531 to 1325 matches the Rfam family "Archaeal large subunit ribosomal RNA", at positions 1423 to 2833 of the family's 2987-position model. The record is from RNAcentral. Lineage: Eukaryota; Metazoa; Arthropoda; Insecta; Plecoptera; Perlidae.